Teratosphaeriaceae sp. CCFEE 6253 is the source of this 90-nucleotide non-coding RNA. The record is from the annotation of a GenBank genome assembly. NCBI's taxonomy places the organism in Eukaryota, Fungi, Ascomycota, Dothideomycetes, Mycosphaerellales, Teratosphaeriaceae.
ACUCCUAGGCACAAUUGGCUAGCGCGUGAGACUUUUAUCAUGAAAGAUCAUCUCAAGGUUGAGAGUUCGAGCCUCUCCGCGGUUGGUGUA